Molecule: transfer RNA, 94 nt
Filed under: Nocardiopsis terrae
Lineage: Bacteria; Bacillati; Actinomycetota; Actinomycetes; Streptosporangiales; Nocardiopsidaceae
Description: tRNA-Pro
Source: RNAcentral
CGCCCUGUGGUCCGGUGACGACAAGCCGUGGGUCGGGGCCGUGGACGCUUUCGCCAUCGGGGGCGGGAUGCAGAUCCUGCUCGCGCUGGACGGC